UCUAACUGGGCCGCUGGUGCUCUAUCUGUUGAAGCACUGGCCAAAGACGUGCACAUGUAAAGAGCUGCUGUUCAUCAAAGAGCUGGAGGAAAUUCUUCAGUACAUCUAUACCUCUGAAUUCAAGUUGGUUCAGGAGCCUCUCUUCAAGCAGCUGGCCCGAUGCAUCUCCGGCUCAAAUCAUGUGGUGGCAAAGGCAGCGCUGCAGUUCUGCAUAAAGAAGCAUAUCACACAUUUUAUCAGUGACAAUGCAGAGGAGAUCCUGCCCAUUGUGCUGCCUGCCCUGUACCAGUGUUCAAACAGCCAGCUAUAUGAGUCUGUCAAGCACAUCCUGACUGAUUAUCUGCCACAGCUGCUCAUGAUGAAUCCUGAGCUCUUUGCAC
This is a long non-coding RNA of Thalassophryne amazonica, 380 nucleotides long. RefSeq lists it as uncharacterized. Lineage: Eukaryota; Metazoa; Chordata; Actinopteri; Batrachoidiformes; Batrachoididae. The record is from RefSeq and is a predicted model, not a curated record. The transcript has 4 exons.